Maylandia zebra (zebra mbuna) is the source of this 949-nucleotide non-coding RNA. The record is from RefSeq and is a predicted model, not a curated record. Lineage: Eukaryota; Metazoa; Chordata; Actinopteri; Cichliformes; Cichlidae.
AGCAUGCUCAGAAUGUGACAAUAUAUUUUUGUUCAAUAUUUAAUUUCUUUCAGUUGCAAUUGUUAAAUGAAAAAUAAAAAUAAAAAAUGUAUUCUUAUAAUUUAACAAAUGAAUUCAUCAAAAAAAUAUAUAUACAUAUAUACAUAUAUCUGUAUUAGUUUUAAUAAAUUAAUUUGACACCUGUAUUGAAAAUACCAUAUUGUAUUCAUACAGAAUCAGUUUGGUAUCAUUGUUUGUCUGAUUGUUGAAACUAAGAGCUACUUUGAUCUGUUUGGUCUAAAGUAUCCAAAGUUGAGCUCUGAUGUUUCGUCACCCCUGUGUGUGAUAUGUGAUUUCCUACAUGCUGGCAGAGCAGAGCGGCAGUUUGUGCUCACAGAUGGUGACGGUGUGGAGAGACGGUGGUGUUUCCUCAGAAGAACCAGCAGAGUCACAAAGGACACCAGUCCAUCUCACCACCUUGACUUGCUGACUUAUGUUCGUCUGCACUGCACAGAGGAAAUCAACUGACCGAGGAGUGUUUCUGAGUGAGGGGGAGAGGAGUCAUCAUCCAGGUAAAGUGACGUGGAUCAGUGGACACACUUGUCUCCCCUUUAAAGGAGACGAUCCAAGUCAUCCUUAAAUAUGGGCAGCAUAUCAGUCUUGGACUGUCUAACCUGCAGCACUGAAUGACCACCACACAUGAGCAUGUUCCUGCAACAUUCAGCAUCUGAUCCUUCAUCUGUGUGCUUCUGCUUUUGUGUCACAUGUCAAACAGCUGGAGAGGAAACUACACCAGUGUACUGAGAUGUUUCAGCAACACGUGCCAGAUGCUGUUCCUUCAUGGUGACAUCACCAGAGACAGCCCCGCCCACCUCAGGACCUCGCCAUUGAUCAUGAUGAUUAUAAUGAUGACAGCGAGCGGAACUAAGACUGUAAAAAUCCACGACCAGAAUUUUUCUUUCUAAUUAUU